RNAcentral lists this ribosomal RNA (492 nucleotides) under uncultured bacterium. RNAcentral's name for it is "partial 16S ribosomal RNA". It matches the Rfam family "Bacterial small subunit ribosomal RNA", at positions 29 to 507 of the family's 1533-position model. The record is from RNAcentral.
AGUGAACGCUGGCGGUAGGCCUAACACAUGCAAGUCGAACGGCAGCACAGUAAGAGCUUGCUCUUACGGGUGGCGAGUGGCGGACGGGUGAGGAAUACACCGGAAUCUACUUUUUCGGGGGGGAUAACGUAGGGAAACUUACGCUAAUACCGCAUACGACCUACGGGUGAAAGCAGGGGAUCUUCGGACCUUGCGCGAUUGAAUGAGCCGAUGUCGGAUUAGCUAGUUGGCGGGGUAAAGGCCCACCAAGGCGACGAUCCGUAGCUGGUCUGAGAGGAUGAUCAGCCACACUGGAACUGAGACACGGUCCAGACUCCUACGGGAGGCAGCAGUGGGGAAUAUUGGACAAUGGGCGCGAGCCUGAUCCAGCCAUACCGCGUGGGUGAAGAAGGCGUUCGGGUUGUAAAGCCCUUUUGUUGGGAGAGAAAAGCAGCAGGUUAAUACGCCGCUGUUCUGACGGUACCCAAAGAAUAAGCACCGGCUAACUUCGUG